UUCUUUUGCAGAUGAGGAGUUAGGCUGAGAGGUUGACUUUCUCACCAAAACACAGAUGGUGCCUGGCCUGUGAUCCCCUCUACUCAGCAAUGGAGAACUUCCCUCAUAUUAAAUCCCUCUAACCCUUUGAAUCUCUCUUGCUUCUUCUGCUACCAACUGGAUACAACUCUCUGCUUUGAAAGGGCCCACGUGAUUGGAAUAGGACCGUUGGAACAAUCUCCCUAUUUCAAGUACGGGUGUGAAGAGGUGGAGAUGAAUUGAGUGUCAUGUGCUACACACACGUGAUAUUCUUGACUUUUCUCAACAG
Long non-coding RNA from Physeter macrocephalus (sperm whale), 307 nucleotides. RefSeq lists it as uncharacterized. The record is from RefSeq and is a predicted model, not a curated record. The transcript has 3 exons. Lineage: Eukaryota; Metazoa; Chordata; Mammalia; Artiodactyla; Physeteridae.